RNAcentral lists this ribosomal RNA (541 nucleotides) under uncultured Bacteroidota bacterium. RNAcentral's name for it is "bacterial SSU rRNA". It matches the Rfam family "Bacterial small subunit ribosomal RNA", at positions 173 to 715 of the family's 1533-position model. Lineage: Bacteria; Pseudomonadati; Bacteroidota. The record is from RNAcentral.
AUCAUGAGUUCACAUGUCCGCAUGAUUAAAGGUAUUUUCCGGUAGACGAUGGGGAUGCGUUCCAUUAGAUAGUAGGCGGGGUAACGGCCCACCUAGUCAACGAUGGAUAGGGGUUCUGAGAGGAAGGUCCCCCACAUUGGAACUGAGACACGGUCCAAACUCCUACGGGAGGCAGCAGUGAGGAAUAUUGGUCAAUGGGCGAUGGCCUGAACCAGCCAAGUAGCGUGAAGGAUGACUGCCCUAUGGGUUGUAAACUUCUUUUAUAAAGGAAUAAAGUCGGGUAUGCAUACCCGUUUGCAUGUACUUUAUGAAUAAGGAUCGGCUAACUCCGUGCCAGCAGCCGCGGUAAUACGGAGGAUCCGAGCGUUAUCCGGAUUUAUUGGGUUUAAAGGGAGCGUAGAUGGAUGUUUAAGUCAGUUGUGAAAGUUUGCGGCUCAGCCGUAAAAUUGCAGUUGAUACUGGAUGUCUUGAGUGCAGUUGAGGCAGGCGGAAUUCGUGGUGUAGCGGUGAAAUGCUUAGAUAUCACGAAGAACUCCGAUUG